UUUAAUACAUAUUUGUGGGAAAAUAUAUUUAAAAAAAAAAAAUUCUAUUCUGAUGAUGUUUAGGCCAGCAGAGAAGGCCUUGCUGAAUUAAAACUGAAUUAAAAUGUAAUUGGCUAAAUGAGGAGUAGGCUACAAUGAUCAACCAACACGUAGUCUUGUUUCAUAUGAAUGGAGUUGUUGUAGACAAGGAUGCCUCAAAAUAACCUAAGUUAGCCUUGCUAUUGUAGCUAGCUAGCUUCUUUACAACGAUUUGAUGCAGUCAAGACAGGCACUACCAGGUGGUAGAGUAUGAUAGACAAACUUGUUGCUGCCAUAUGUUAUCUAUUGUAACUAGCCUGAGUCGGUUUGGUUACUUUCUCUCCCGCUGUGCCACACACAAGACUGUCACACACACAGACCCCUGCUCUUCUCUCCCCCACCCUUCCAAGCAGAGCUGAGCAGCGCACCGCACUGCCUAAUGAUUGACGAGACUUCCGCCAUGAGCUGAUUGGCUGACUAAGUUAUGACCAGGAAGAGACGUCUUCGCUGAAUCGUUUCAUCAUAGGAAUGAAUGCUAGAUUGAUGCCUGCAGCUUCUCCAUCAAAUCGAAAUAAACAAAGAAACAGAGUACUUUGCAGAGCCAACAGGCGAAAAUAGAAAACGAUAGAGCCUGGGCCAAGACGAGAGUGAACCUCGGAUUUGCGUUCACAACCUGAAGAGGGCGAGCUAGCUAACGUUAGCUAGGGGAUUCAAAACCGACCAAUACUUGUCCUAAUUUCUGCUCAAAAGUCCUACUACAACUGGAUGCAGUUGGCACAUCCCUGAGUGGAGAAGGAUCAGAUCGGUCUUCGUCUGAGCUCGACUACAGCAGAACUGGACUACAUCAAUAAUCCCCAUCCAGUCAUGGAGAACGCUUACGGGAAGUGUAAACCUACAGAGUACUCAGAAAUGUUGAUGAAAGGGGCCUUCAACCAAACACAUGAAUCAUAUGUAAAUAAGGGACGUUUGUGUGGACAACAAACUUGUGUGUGAAACCAUAAUUGUUCAUUCUUUACCUAGCAUAUUGUACUUUUGGAAUGGUUUUAGAUUUAUUUGACUAAACUGUACACUUUUCCUGAAUAUUCAAUUCAAGGGGCUUCAUUGGCACGGGAAACAUGUUAACAUUGUCAAAGCAAGUGAAGUAGAAAAUAUACAAAAGUGAAAUAAACAAAAAUUAACA
Salvelinus namaycush (lake trout) is the source of this 1198-nucleotide long non-coding RNA. RefSeq lists it as uncharacterized. The record is from RefSeq and is a predicted model, not a curated record. Lineage: Eukaryota; Metazoa; Chordata; Actinopteri; Salmoniformes; Salmonidae. The transcript has 3 exons.